Small nuclear RNA from Serinus canaria (Common canary), 93 nucleotides. RefSeq annotates it as U2 spliceosomal RNA. The transcript has a single exon. The record is from RefSeq and is a predicted model, not a curated record. NCBI's taxonomy places the organism in Eukaryota, Metazoa, Chordata, Aves, Passeriformes, Fringillidae.
AUCGCUUCUCAGCAUUUUGGCCAAGAUCAGGUGUAGUAUCUGUUCUUAGCAGUUUAACAUCUGAUGCAUCCUCAGUGAGAGAACUAAUUUCUU